This 29-nucleotide non-coding RNA is filed under the name Mus musculus (house mouse). The record is from RNAcentral. Lineage: Eukaryota; Metazoa; Chordata; Mammalia; Rodentia; Muridae.
UCCCUUCAUCUCAGGAACGUGUGACUUUA